Molecule: ribosomal RNA, 315 nt
Filed under: uncultured eukaryote
Lineage: Eukaryota
Description: partial 18S ribosomal RNA
Rfam family: Eukaryotic small subunit ribosomal RNA
Source: RNAcentral
CCCUUAGACGUUCUGGGCCGCACGCGCGCUACACUGACCAGUGCAACAAGCAUCCGUCCUUGGCCGACAGGCCCGGGCAAUCUUUGAACGCUGGUCGUGAUGGGGAUAGACUUUUGCAAUUUUUGGUCUUCAACGAGGAAUUCCUAGUAAACGCAAGUCAUCAACUUGCAUUGAUUACGUCCCUGCCCUUUGUACACACCGCCCGUCGCACCUACCGAUUGAAUGGUCCGGUGAAGCCUCCGGAUUGGCGCGCACCUCGGUGCCGCCGAGAAGUUGGCUAAAUCUUACCAUUUAGAGGAAGGUGAAGUCGUAACA